GACGAACGCUGGCGGCGUGCUUAACACAUGCAAGUCGUACGGUAAGGCCCUUUCGGGGGUACACGAGUGGCGAACGGGUGAGUAACACGUGAGUAACCUGCCCACAACUUUGGGAUAACGCUAGGAAACUGGUGCUAAUACUGGAUAUGUGCUCCUGCUGCAUGGUGGGGGUUGGAAAGCUCCGGCGGUUGUGGAUGGACUCGCGGCCUAUCAGCUUGUUGGUGGGGUAGUGGCCUACCAAGGCGGCGACGGGUAGCCGGCCUGAGAGGGUGACCGGCCACAGUGGGACUGAGAUACGCCCCAGACGCCUGCGGGACGCAGCAGUGGGGAGUAUGGCACGAUGGGCGCAAGCCUGAUGCAGCAACGCCGCGUGCGGGAUGAUGGCCUUCGGGUUGUAAGCCGCUUUCACCAGGGACGAAGCUUUUUGAGACGGCACCUGCAGAAGAGGCAGAGGAUAACUACGUG
Molecule: ribosomal RNA, 465 nt
Filed under: uncultured bacterium
Lineage: Bacteria
Description: partial 16S ribosomal RNA
Rfam family: Bacterial small subunit ribosomal RNA
Source: RNAcentral